AAGAUGGCGACCGGCGCACGGGUGAGUAACACGUAUCCAACCUGCCGAUAACUCUGGAAUAGCCCUUCGAAAGAAAGAUUAAUACCGGAUGGCAUACGAAUAUCGCAUGAUAUUUUUAUUAAAGAAUUUCGGUUAUCGAUGGGGAUGCGUUCCAUUAGUUUGUUGGCGGGGUAACGGCCCACCAAGACAACGAUGGAUAGGGGUUCUGAGAGGAAGGUCCCCCACAUUGGAACUGAGACACGGUCCAA
RNAcentral lists this ribosomal RNA (248 nucleotides) under uncultured bacterium. RNAcentral describes it as "partial 16S ribosomal RNA". It matches the Rfam family "Bacterial small subunit ribosomal RNA", at positions 85 to 334 of the family's 1533-position model. The record is from RNAcentral.